Molecule: ribosomal RNA, 492 nt
Filed under: uncultured bacterium
Lineage: Bacteria
Description: partial 16S ribosomal RNA
Rfam family: Bacterial small subunit ribosomal RNA
Source: RNAcentral
AGUGAACGCUGGCGGUAGGCCUAACACAUGCAAGUCGAACGGCAGCACAGUAAGAGCUUGCUCUUACGGGUGGCGAGUGGCGGACGGGUGAGGAAUACAUCGGAAUCUACUUUUUCGUGGGGGAUAACGUAGGGAAACUUACGCUAAUACCGCAUACGACCUACGGGUGAAAGCAGGGGAUCUUCGGACCUUGCGCGAUUGAAUGAGCCGAUGUCGGAUUAGCUAGUUGGCGGGGUAAAGGCCCACCAAGGCGACGAUCCGUAGCUGGUCUGAGAGGAUGAUCAGCCACACUGGAACUGCGACACGGUCCAGACUCCUACGGGAGGCAGCAGUGGGGAAUAGUGGACAAUGGGCGCAAGCCUGAUCCAGCCAUACCGCGUGGGUGAAGAAGGCCUUCGGGUUGUAAAGCCCUUUUGUUGGGAAAGAAAAGCAGCAGGUUAAUACCCCGCUGUUCUGACGGUACCCAAAGAAUAAGCACCGGCUAACUUCGUG